Molecule: ribosomal RNA, 283 nt
Filed under: uncultured prokaryote
Description: partial 16S ribosomal RNA
Rfam family: Bacterial small subunit ribosomal RNA
Source: RNAcentral
UACGGAGGAUCCGAGCGUUAUCCGGAUUUAUUGGGUUUAAAGGGUGCGUAGGUGGUUUCUUAAGUCAGAGGUGAAAGGCUACGGCUCAACCGUAGUAAGCCUUUGAAACUGGGAAACUUGAGUGCAGGAGAGGAGAGUGGAAUUCCUAGUGUAGCGGUGAAAUGCGUAGAUAUUAGGAGGAACACCAGUUGCGAAGGCGGCUCUCUGGACUGUAACUGACACUGAGGCACGAAAGCGUGGGGAGCAAACAGGAUUAGAUACCCGGGUAGUCCCUGAGCGGGCU